RNAcentral lists this ribosomal RNA (625 nucleotides) under uncultured Streptococcus sp. Its description in RNAcentral is "bacterial SSU rRNA". It matches the Rfam family "Bacterial small subunit ribosomal RNA", at positions 28 to 636 of the family's 1533-position model. Lineage: Bacteria; Bacillati; Bacillota; Bacilli; Lactobacillales; Streptococcaceae. The record is from RNAcentral.
GACGAACGCUGGCGGCGUGCCUAAUACAUGCAAGUAGAACGCUGAAGAAAGGAGCUUGCUUCUUUUGGAUGAGUUGCGAACGGGUGAGUAACGCGUAGGUAACCUGCCUUGUAGCGGGGGAUAACUAUUGGAAACGAUAGCUAAUACCGCAUAACAGCUUUUGACACAUGUUAGAAGCUUGAAAGAUGCAAUUGCAUCACUACGAGAUGGACCUGCGUUGUAUUAGCUAGUAGGUAGGGUAACGGCCUACCUAGGCGACGAUACAUAGCCGACCUGAGAGGGUGAUCGGCCACACUGGGACUGAGACACGGCCCAGACUCCUACGGGAGGCAGCAGUAGGGAAUCUUCGGCAAUGGGGGCAACCCUGACCGAGCAACGCCGCGUGAGUGAGGAAGGUUUUCGGAUCGUAAAGCUCUGUUGUAAGAGAAGAACGUGUGUGAGAGUGGAAAGUUCGCACAGUGACGGUAACUUACCAGAAAGGGACGGCUAACUACGUGCCAGCAGCCGCGGUAAUACGUAGGUCCCGAGCGUUGUCCGGAUUUAUUGGGCGUAAAGCGAGCGCAGGCGGUUUAAUAAGUCUGAAGUUAAAGGCAGUGGCUUAACCAUUGUUCGCUUUGGAAACUGU